AGCUGUGCUAUGCAGGGUCCCUUGACCUAAACGUCAUCAUGCAGCACGUGGCCAUAGUGAAGCCCAGGAGCCUGUGGCUUGCUCCACUCAGGCGAUCCACCGCCAGCCCUGCAGACCCAGGAAAUCAGUUUCCCCAAACACCCACUCCAAGCCUUCAGGCUCAUCAUGCCAGGGCGGAUCCCAGAGGCCCUGCAGCGGGAAUGGCCACUGCAGCGGAGAUGGGAGCAGACAGGGCGACGGGUCCUGCCGGUGCCACAUGGGGUACCAGGGCCCGCUGUGCACUGACUGCAUGGACGGCUACUUCAGCUCGCUCCGGAACGAGACCCACAGCAUCUGCACAGCCUGUGACGAGUCCUGCAAGACGUGCUCGGGCCUGACCAACAGAGACUGCGGCGAGUGUGAAGUGGGCUGGGUGCUGGACGAGGGCGCCUGUAUGGAUGUGGACGAGUGUGCGGCCGAGCCGCCUCC
RNAcentral lists this small RNA (468 nucleotides) under Pan troglodytes (chimpanzee). Its description in RNAcentral is "processed transcript". Lineage: Eukaryota; Metazoa; Chordata; Mammalia; Primates; Hominidae. The record is from RNAcentral.